UAAUACGGAGGGUGCGAGCGUUGUUCGGAAUCAUUGGGCGUAAAGGGCGCGCAGGCGGCUGUUUAAGUCUGAUGUGAAAGCCCCGGGCUCAACCCGGGAAGUGCAUCGGAAACUGGGCAGCUUGAGUACGGGAGAGGGAAGUGGAAUUCCGCAUGUAGGGGUGAAAUCCGUAGAUAUGCGGAGGAACACCGGUGGCGAAGGCGGCUUCCUGGACCGAUACUGACGCUGAGGCGCGAAAGCGUGGGGAGCAAACAGGAUUAGAUACCCUGGUAGUCCACGCCGUAAACGAUGGACACUAGGCGUUGCAGGUACCCAUUCCAGCAGUGCCGCAGCUAACGCGAUAAGUGUCCCGCCUGGGGAGUACGGCCGCAAGGCUA
RNAcentral lists this ribosomal RNA (377 nucleotides) under uncultured bacterium. RNAcentral's name for it is "bacterial SSU rRNA". It matches the Rfam family "Bacterial small subunit ribosomal RNA", at positions 521 to 896 of the family's 1533-position model. The record is from RNAcentral.